UAUUAAAGUUGUUGCAGUUAAAAAGCUCGUAGUUGGAUUUCUGUUAAUUCUUAUAUAUAAUACUACGGUAUUUAUAUAACAUUAACAUAAUUCAUAUUACUUAUUUAAAGUAUAUGAAAUUUUA
This 124-nucleotide ribosomal RNA is filed under the name Cryptosporidium sp. iguana/MJLK/2010. Its description in RNAcentral is "partial 18S ribosomal RNA". The record is from RNAcentral. Lineage: Eukaryota; Apicomplexa; Conoidasida; Eucoccidiorida; Cryptosporidiidae.